Molecule: transfer RNA, 72 nt
Filed under: Candidatus Cloacimonadota bacterium
Lineage: Bacteria; Pseudomonadati; Candidatus Cloacimonadota
Description: tRNA-Asn
Rfam family: tRNA
About the family: Transfer RNA (tRNA) molecules are approximately 80 nucleotides in length.
Source: RNAcentral
UCCUGAGUAGCUCAAUGGUAGAGCGGGUGGCUGUUAACCACUAGGUUGGGGGUUCAAGUCCCUCCUCAGGAG